Molecule: long non-coding RNA, 427 nt
Organism: Juglans microcarpa x Juglans regia
Lineage: Eukaryota; Viridiplantae; Streptophyta; Magnoliopsida; Fagales; Juglandaceae
Exons: 2
Source: RefSeq, a predicted model, not a curated record
ACAUCUAUAUAUUAUAUCUCUUAGGUCAACAUUUACUUCCAUGCUAUGGGAUCUGUCAGUUUCUGAAGACAGGAAUGUAAGGUUUAUCUGUUUAUGUCCUUCCCUCUUUCUGGGCUGGGCUGCGUGUGAAUGAAAAGAGGUGGUGAGUAAAGAACAAAGACCAAGGAUAUUAAAGAACAAAGAUCAAGAGUUCGUUUAGAUCUCAACGUCAACGCAAUUAAUCAUCAAAGCAUGUCCUGGGAGAAAGGAAGAAGGCGAAGAAAAAGGAUGGACCAGACAUGGUUAUCUAACGUGAGAAGUAUUAGCACCUUCAAACCAAUGCAAAAUGUGUGUAGCUGUGAUCCCCACUGACAAGCAGCUUCUGAUUCUGCCAUAUGGCGGCUAGCCACAGAAGCAACAAGAGAGGAGUCCAGUCCUCCAGAUAAAA